RNAcentral lists this ribosomal RNA (250 nucleotides) under uncultured bacterium. Its description in RNAcentral is "partial 16S ribosomal RNA". It matches the Rfam family "Bacterial small subunit ribosomal RNA", at positions 779 to 1029 of the family's 1533-position model. The record is from RNAcentral.
UAGAUACCCUGGUAGUCCACGCCGUAAACGGUGGGCACUAGGUGUGGGGGACAUUCCACGUUCUCCGUGCCGAAGCUAACGCAUUAAGUGCCCCGCCUGGGGAGUACGGCCGCAAGGCUAAAACUCAAAGGAAUUGACGGGGGCCCGCACAAGCGGCGGAGCAUGCGGAUUAAUUCGAUGCAACGCGAAGAACCUUACCUGGGUUUGACAUACACCGGAAAGCUGCAGAGAUGUAGCCUCCGCAAGGUCG